ACGAGGGGUGCAAGCGUUAAUCGGAAUUACUGGGCGUAAAGCGCGCGUAGGUGGUGAAGUCAGUCAGAUGUGAAAGCCCAGGGCUCAACCUUGGAAUUGCAUCUGAUACUGCUUCGCUAGAGUACAGUAGAGGGGUGUGGAAUUUCCUGUGUAGCGGUGAAAUGCGUAGAUAUAGGAAGGAACACCAGUGGCGAAGGCGACACCCUGGACUGAUACUGACACUGAGGUGCGAAAGCGUGGGGAGCAAACAGG
Molecule: ribosomal RNA, 252 nt
Filed under: uncultured bacterium
Lineage: Bacteria
Description: partial 16S ribosomal RNA
Rfam family: Bacterial small subunit ribosomal RNA
Source: RNAcentral